GAGAAGGAAGAAGUAAAAAUGUGUUUAUUUACUGAUGAUGUGAUCAUGUACAUAACAAGCCUCCUAGAAAUAAUCAAUUUAGCAAGGGCACUGGCUGUUGGGACAGUCUUAUAUGGGUCCUAAGCAUCCCUGCAUGUUCUUACUAUGUCAAACUGAAAAGUCUGUCUCCUGAUACUGAGCCCACAAGCAAUCGCAAUUAAGUAGACCAAAGUGACCAUAGUGUGAUGACAGUGUAAUUUCUCCCACCCCGGUGGAAGGGGCCUGGCUUUAUUUGCUGCUUACUAAAACAGGUACUGAGCCUUUGGCUCUGGACUCUGCCAAGCUGUGGCAUAACUCCUUGAGUGCAGCACCAUCUGGGGUCAGUGUGUCACUCAUAGGACUUGGGAGCAGGGGGCCCAGGUUGCCUUGCUGAUGUUCCUGCUGUUUGCCAUCAGUAAUUUGGCCUCACUGUCAGCUUUUGGCAUCUGUGACGUUGUGGCAUACUCUGACAUAGGUGAGCAAAAUUUUUCUUAAAGGGUCAGAUGGUAUUUAAGGCUGUGGGCCAUGUAGUCUCUGUUGCAACUACUUAACAUUGCCAUAACAGCAUGAAAGCUGCAAUAUAUAAUAACAUGUAAGUAAGUGACCAUGAUGAUGUUCUCCAAAGAACUUUCAUUUACAAAAACAAGCAGCUGGCCCACUUUCUUUCUUUUUCUUUUGAGAUGGAGUUUCACUCUUGUUGCCCAGGCUGGAGUGCAAUGGCUCGGUCUCAGCUCACUACAACUUCCGCCUCCCAAGUUCAAACGAUUCUUAUGCCUCAGCCCCCCAUGUAGCUGGGAUUAGAGGAAUGCGCCACCAUGCCCGGCUAAUUUUGUAUUUUUAGUAGAUGGGGUUUCACCAUGUUGGUCAGGCUGAUCUUGAAUUCCUGACCUCAGGUGAUCCACCUGCCUCGGCCUCCCAAAGUGCUGGGAUUACAGGUGUGAGCCACCGCAGCCGGUGCAGCUGGCCCACUUUCUUUCCAUGAGGCUCAGAGCAGGAACUUGUGUAAUGUCUCUUGUCUUGUAGGCAGCGAAGAUGGGGAAGCAGGAUUUGGAUCCCUUUCCACCUUAACCUCUGUGCUCUGUGCUUUCCUACUGACCCUAAAAAAUGUAUUUAAGGGCUUCCUUGCCCUCCAGCUUGCAGUUAAGUUGUACCAGUGGGAGACACAAGCAGAGAUCAGAGACGGGAGAAGGGAAAUGGAGGUCCCUGCUAUUUCUCCACUAGCCUCCUAGAGUGUGGGGUUUCCUAGUGGGAGGCCUUCUAUGCACAUAUUACUCUCUCCAGCUUCAGGGAAUUGUUUCAGGCCCUUCCCUUUUAAGCCUAGAAAUAACAAUUACUGCCCCAUCCCAUCCCAAUUAGCGAGGGGUACAGCACUUGGCUUAAAGCUUAGUCACUCUUGGCCGGAGGCAGUCGCUCCAGCCUGUAAUCCCGCACUUUGGGAGCACUUUGUCCUCUCAGCUCCCACUGCACCACUUUAGGGAUCGCGUGGUGACUCGUUUCAGUUUAUUUACGUGUGCUCCUGGAAAGGACGCUCUAUUUCCCUAGUGUCUCUACCUGGUAGGUAAAUAGGCCGCAGAAAAGACCAAUGCUAACUCCCAUCCCGCAUUUGCAGAGAUCCGUCGCUCACACCGUUUCUCGUCUUCCGUCGAAAAAUGGGAAUCGUGGGAGUAGGACCUAUUUGCCAGUCUCCUGGUAACAUUGUCACAACUGGCCACUUCCGCCCAACGCCCGGUAGCCCAAGGGCCUCCAGGGUCCUACCCCACAACCCCGAGCUCCUGCAGACGACGGCGUCGUGGGCGGUCACUGUUUUCCCUUAGGUCUGGAGAGGGGACAUCCGAGCGAGGGCCACUUGCGGCCUGGCCCGAGCUCGUCCCGCUCCGGGU
RNAcentral lists this long non-coding RNA (1898 nucleotides) under Macaca mulatta (Rhesus monkey). RNAcentral's name for it is "lncRNA (ENSMMUG00000055306.1)". Lineage: Eukaryota; Metazoa; Chordata; Mammalia; Primates; Cercopithecidae. The record is from RNAcentral.